Long non-coding RNA from Erigeron canadensis, 1812 nucleotides. RefSeq lists it as uncharacterized. Lineage: Eukaryota; Viridiplantae; Streptophyta; Magnoliopsida; Asterales; Asteraceae. The transcript has 6 exons. The record is from RefSeq and is a predicted model, not a curated record.
UCAUUUACAUAAAUUAAUCUUAAUCUACAUCCAUUUAAGGGAGAAAAAAAGAAGGGGGGGAUAUUUGGAUUUAUUACGGGGAAAAUGAGCGAUUUUGGUCACCAGCACACCGUCGCCGGAGUCAUUCACCACCACCGGAGUUACCCACUUGGAGCUGUUAUGGCUGCAAUUAAUUACUUGGCAAAUUGAAUGCCCGGACAUCCUCUGCGGCCAGCACCAAAUGGAAUGAACUCAUGAUGGAGCCCUUUAUAGUCAAUUGGACUGUUCAAGAACCUCUCAGGUUUGAAAUUAUCUGGUUCUUCCCACACUGCAGGAUCUUUUGCUAUCGCCCAAGCAUUUACAACCACCAUUGUACGUGCUGCAAUGUCAAACCCCAUAAGUUUGACAUCUUGAGUGGUUUCUCGCUGAAUAAGUAGCGGGACCGAAAGAUGCAACCGGAGCGUCUCUUUGAUGACAGCCUUGAGAUUUUUUCAGCUACUUCUGCAGACGAGGCUACAAGCAUCGGCACGCUACCAAGAUGAAUCAGCAUAAGUGGACCAUGUUUCUUGGCCAAGUCCAAGAGAGAGUGAUGGAGGAUUGCUCCUAGCUGGUGGAGAUUUCCAAUGAAUGGGAGCUUCCACGGAGAUGGUGGUAAAAAAAUGUUUGUAGAAAGGAUGUAUGGGAAAUUGAUGAGACAUGCUGAGUGUUUGUGGGAAGGACAACCCGAACUGACGCGGACAUUCUAAGGAUCUCUUGCUAUCGCCCAAGCAUUUACAACCACCGGUGUACGUGCUGCAAUAUCAUACCCCAUAAGUUUCACAUCUUGAGUGGUUUCUCGCUGAACAAGUAGUGGGAGUGGAAGAUGGAACCGAAGCGUCUCUUUGAUGACAGCCUUAAGCUUUGAUGGAAUCUUUAUCAACGAUGAAGCCACCUGCAUUUUCUUUCUGGACAUCAAGCAAGAUGUCUACUAAAUCUUGACCUUCAUCGCUUCCGCAAACUGAAUCAUUUGUCUCCCUUCUUUGAGUUAUAUGUUCUUCAAUCACACCCUCAAGAAACUCAUCCAACUCUCUACAAACUUCGUUUGUUCUGUAAUUUAAAGCACUCAAACGAUCAACCCAUGACAACAAUGGAAUAUAACUCCCAAUGCUAAGAACUCCUAAUAGACCCAUCAUUCGUGCCAGCAAGUUCUUAAACUUUAAGCCAUGAUACGUUUUACCCAAGGCCACCCUACAAAUCACAUUAUUUGUAAACGAAACUAUCAGCUCACUUAAAUUAACUAUAGAACCACAACUUUCUCCAAUUUCUUUCAUCAUCAAAGCCGUUUCUUCGUCCCUGACUUUUUUAAAUGAUAGAACUCGUUUAUUACUUAGAAGGUGGAGUACUGCAAUGCUUCUCAACUGUCUCCAAUACUCUCCAUAUGGAGAAAAUGCUAUAUCCUUGGAACCAUAGAAAAUUGCGUUAGGGAUUUUUAAAUGGGGUCUACUGCAAAAGACUAAAUCAUGGGUUUUCAAGAUUUUUUCAGCUACUUCUGCAGACGAGGCUACAAGCAUCGGCACGCUACCAAGAUGAAUCAUCAUAAGUGGACCAUGUUUCUUGGCCAAGUCCAAGAGAGACAGAUGGAGGCUCCCUCCUAGCUGGUGGAGAUUUCCAAUGAAUGGGAGCUUCCACGGGGAUGGUGGUAAGUUUCUUUUGUUUUUAGACUUGGAACUAAUCCACUUGAAUGAUAUCCAAAUCAAAAAAACAGAAAUUGAAAAAAUAAAAGGAGAUAUUUCUGUGUAUAGAAACAUUGCUACAAGCUUCUUUCUGCAAUUCUAUUAAAUGGCAAAUUAGUAA